Molecule: small RNA, 251 nt
Filed under: Pan paniscus (pygmy chimpanzee)
Lineage: Eukaryota; Metazoa; Chordata; Mammalia; Primates; Hominidae
Description: Metazoan signal recognition particle RNA (ENSPPAG00000001877.1)
Source: RNAcentral
GCCAGGUGUGGUGGUGCACACCUGUAAUCCCAGCUACUUGGGAGGCUGAGGCAGGAGAAUUGCUUGAACUAGGGAGGCAGAGGCUGCAGUGAGCCAGGAUCACAUCAUUGCACUCCAGCCUGGGCAACAAGAGCAAAACUCCAUCUCAAAAAAAAAGAGAGACAGCUCUGUUGUCCAGGCUGGAGUGCAGUGGCACGAUCAUAGCUCACUGUAGCCUCAAGCUCCUGGCCUUAAGUGAUCCUCCUGCCUUA